This is a non-coding RNA of Podarcis lilfordi (Lilford's wall lizard), 72 nucleotides long. NCBI's taxonomy places the organism in Eukaryota, Metazoa, Chordata, Lepidosauria, Squamata, Lacertidae. The record is from the annotation of a GenBank genome assembly.
GGCUGGAUAGCUCUGUUGGUAAAUCAUGAGACUCUUAAUCCAGGGUCAUGGGUUCGAAUCCCACAUUGGGUG